RNAcentral lists this long non-coding RNA (333 nucleotides) under Gallus gallus (chicken). Lineage: Eukaryota; Metazoa; Chordata; Aves; Galliformes; Phasianidae. The record is from RNAcentral.
CGUGCAUACUGGGGUCCUGUGGAAUCAUACCACUGGCUGGAAGCAGUGAUGUCUUCAUCCCGUAUCGUGCCCUCAUGCAUUCCCAGAGGGUAACGGCAUGUAGCAGGGUUGACUUCGGAGCCAGAUGGCUCAGGCAGGGAGGCCAGCAGCAGUAUGCAGAAGAUCAUGGUAGCAGUCAGAGACGCUGCGCAGGCUCAGAUGGGCACGAGUCCUUCACAGGCAGCAGCUGCGAUCUACAUUUCUGCCUCGCCCGGGGGCCGCCGAGCGCGGGGAACGACCGCAACGCGUCUUCCGUGCUCCACGGCCCGAGCCGGCCCGUCCCGCCGACAUUCC